GACGAACGCUGGCGGCGUGCCUUACACAUGCAAGUCGAACGGCAGCGGGGGAGAAGCUUGCUUUUCCUGCCGGCGAGUGGCGAACGGGUGAGUAAUACAUCGGAACGUGCCCUGUAGUGGGGGAUAACUAGUCGAAAGAUUAGCUAAUACCGCAUACGACCUGAGGGUGAAAGUGGGGGACCGCAAGGCCUCAUGCUAUAGGAGCGGCCGAUGUCUGAUUAGCUAGUUGGUGGGGUAAAGGCCUACCAAGGCGACGAUCAGUAGCUGGUCUGAGAGGACGAUCAGCCACGCUGGGACUGAGACACGGCCCAGACUCCUACGGGAGGCAGCAGUGGGGAAUUUUGGACAAUGGGCGAAAGCCUGAUCCAGCAAUGCCGCGUGUGUGAAGAAGGCCUUCGGGUUGUAAAGCACUUUUGUCCGGAAAGAAAUGGCUCUGGUUAAUACCUGGGGUCGAUGACGGUACCGGAAGAAUAAGGACCGGCUAACUACGUGCCAGCCGCCGCGGUAA
Molecule: ribosomal RNA, 508 nt
Filed under: uncultured bacterium
Lineage: Bacteria
Description: partial 16S ribosomal RNA
Rfam family: Bacterial small subunit ribosomal RNA
Source: RNAcentral